CUGCCUUCUCUUUCCCUCCUCACCUCACAAACCACUCUCAUCUCCUCCUCUUCCUCUCCCGUUACGAAGAGGCGACGAGACAAGAGACGAUGGCCAACAUCCGAAGCAAUCUUCUUCUAAGGGAGUUGUGCCACGUCUCCCGGUUGCUGAGGUCGAGCCGGACGAUUCCGGCCGUACCGAUCCGCGUCCACGUCGGGAUCGGCGGUGUCCGCUGCGCCGCCGCGCAAUCCGGCGACGGGGGCAAGAAGGUGUCUGCUCGCCUAUCUAUGAUGCAACAGAUCCUUCAAGAUGCCGAGGAGCGGGCUCUCUCCGCGGGCUCCGAGUCCACCCCAGAGAUCACAUUGGACCAUGUCACUGUUAGUUUUGCAAGAAGCGGGGGACCCGGUGGUCAAAAUGUAAACAAAGUGAACACUAAGGUGGACAUGCGCUUCAAUGUUAAACAAGCACAUUGGCUUAGCGAAAGAGUCAGGGAGAGAAUACUUCAAAUGGAAAAAAAUCGUAUCAACAAGGAUGGGGAGAUUGUAAUUUCAUCAACAAAGACAAGAACACAGAAAGGUAACAUUGAAGAUGCGCUGGAGAAACUGCAGGUACUGAAUCUUUGGUUUCGGCAUGAUUCUUGUGCAAACCUUGCUAUUAUAGAUGCUGCAUCAUAUGUUCCACCGCCUCCUUCAAAAGAGCAAAAGAAGAAGAUAGAAAGAUUGGCUGCUAUUGGAGAGCAGAAGAGGAUGCAGAAUAAAAAAUCUCUCUCACAGAAAAAGGCAAUUAGGAGAAACAAAGAAAGUUGGGACUGAUGCUGAGGUUGAAUUGCGAGAGGUUUCCUAGAGAAGUUGAUCUAUCCUCAUUGUCAUACACUCCAUGGAAGCGACUGGCUGAAAAUAUAACAAGAAACAUGAGCUGUGGUUUGGGAGUCUUUUUUGAUACAAGUUCGAGCUUGACGUAAUUACACCUGAUUCAUCCUGAAUUCGAUCUUAUUUGGGCCUGAACUGAAGCUUCUAAGAUCAAUUGACCGCUUGUGAUUGAGAGGAAAAAAGAAAGUGACAUUUGUGUCUCCAACGAUAUUGAUGCAUGUGACGCCAAUUAGCAUCCAGAAGUCUUUGAGAUUGCAGGACCGGUAGCCUUCUCCAACUUGCCACCUUAUGUUUGAACGUGGAAACCAAGGCUAGGUUCAUCAUAUUUCGUCUGAAAUGAGACAAUUUAAGGCACUUGGGACUACUGGCUGAGAAUUGCCAUGAGAAUUCUAGCCCUGCAUCAGCUGCCAGGGGUAGUUGGCUAAAGCAGCUCUGGCCGUUGACAGCCUGCUUUGAUUCACAUCUUUGUUCCCAUUGCUCUUCAUGUUUUUCUUGUCCUGUCUUGCAAGGAACUCAUUACAUCGGGAUAGCUAUCUGGUUGUUGGGAUAAGCUCCAGUAUCUGCUAUGCUUUACAUCUUCUCCAUCAAGGAUAAUGAAUGCCACCUUUGCGUGUUAAAUCUGCAAGAAGGAAGUAUACGACACUCGGGAAGUUUUGAGGGGUUGGAGUUAUUGAUUCCAUUGUUCUGAUCUCUCAGGGAUACAGAAGAUCGCCUUCUAAGUGGAUUCUGAUCAUCCUUUGAACUCAUAUUUCAGAAGUCUCAGCUUUUUUAGGAGGUCGUUUCAGAACUAGUCUUCAAUGAUUGUAUUUCCACAGUAUUUUUUUUCUGAAGAAAAAAAAGUGCAAUAAGAUGUGAAACGCUCUAAUUUUUCCUCCGCA
Molecule: non-coding RNA, 1726 nt
Organism: Phoenix dactylifera (date palm)
Lineage: Eukaryota; Viridiplantae; Streptophyta; Magnoliopsida; Arecales; Arecaceae
Source: RefSeq, a predicted model, not a curated record